UAUUGCAACCUGAACUCAGGCGUGAUUACCCGCUGAACUUAAGCAUAUCAUUUAGCGGAGGAAAAGAAACUAACAAGGAUUCCCCUAGUAACGGCGAGUGAACGGGGAGAAGCCCAGCGCUGAAUCUUUCGGUGUUACACCGUUAAGAAAUGUAGCGUAUAGGUGUGGUUUUCAGUUUGUGCUACUUAUCCAAAGUCCCUUUGAUAGGGCCACAUUCCCGAGAGGGUGCGAGACCUGUGCGGAUAGUGGAGCAAGCUGUACGAUCAUACCUUGGAGUCGGGUUGCUUGAAAGUGCAGCCUAAAGUGGGUGAUAAACUUCAUCUAAGGCUAAAUAUAGACGCGAAUUCGAUAGCAAACAAGUACUGUGAAGGAAAGUUGCAAAGAACUUUGAAGAGAGUUCAAGAGAACGUGAAAUCGCUGGAGUGGAAACGGAGAGUUGACGUAGUCCGGUGACUAAGUUUGCCGAAAUCGCUUAAUUGUGAUUAAGGUGAAUGUAUGUUGCCUAUGGCUGCGCUGACAGCACUGGUUGUACGUUCCGAACCGUUUUCGUUGCCCAAUUUUCGAAUUGGUGUCUUGUUUACGGGUAGGUUUGUUAUGACUAGUGUUUUAUCCUGUUUUAUGCAGGGUGUCAGUGUGAAGGUCGACCACCUCUCCGACCCGUCUUGAAACACGGACCGAGGAGUGUAACUUGUACGCGAGUCAAAGGGUGGAAAACCCCAAGGCGCAAUGAAAGUAAAGGUCGGUUAACCGACUGACAUGGGAUCCGUUUCGUUUUGAAGCGGCGCACCAUGGCCCUGUCUUGUCUGCUUGCAGAUGGGCAGCGGUAGAGCGUACAGGUUGCGACCCGAAAGAUGGUGAACUAUGCCUGAGCAGGACGAAGUCAGAGGAAACUCUGGUGGAAGUCCGUAUCGGUUCUGACGUGCAAAUCGAUCGAUAGACUUGGGUAUAGGGGCGAAAGACUAAUCGAACCAUCUAGUAGCUGGUUCCCUCCGAAGUUUCCCCCAGGAUAGCUGGAGUUCAUUGCGGUUAUAUCCGGUAAAGCGAAUGAUUAGAGGACUUGGGGUCGAAACGACCUCAACCUAUUCUCAAACUUUCAAUGGGUAUGUUGUCUCGGUUUCUUUGUUGAACUGUUGACACGAACGCGAACUCCAAGUGGGCCAUUUUGGUAAGCAGAACUGGCGCUGUGGGAUGAACCAAACGUUGGGUUAAGGUGCCUAACUUUUCGCUCAUGAGACCCCAUAAAGGCGUUGGUUGAUAUACAGCAGGACGGUGGCCCGGAGCGGUACCCAGAAGUGUACCCACCUGGAAUGGCAACUAGCCUGAAAAUGGUUGCGCCUGUUUGCUGGCUUGUGUUGCGCCUGGCUGCAGUAGAGUGUGUGGGUUUCAAGGUUUUGUCCUUGAGCUUCUCGAAGUUCUCUGUAGUGAAGACAGUUCGAUCCUAAGACCUGUCAUCGGUGGGGUCUCUUUUCGGAGAAAGAGUGGGUUCUGUCACUGUGCCUAAAUAUGGUCCUUGGUAACGCUUCUUGGUUCGUACUCAGAGACCGAGCUGGUUCGAGUAGUGGACGUUCCGCGUUAGUCUCAGAUAGUGACGUUCUCUUCUCUGUUAAAGAAUCGCGGUUGGGACGUUGUUUCCGGCCCUCUGUAAAUCGUGUGGACAGGCUAAGUGAGAAUAGGGGUCAAGUUGAGUCGAAGAUUAGGUCCGAACAGAAAAGAGAAUAUAAACUCGUCAGCUAACCUUGGAAGGACAAUUGCUCGCGUGAGUGAAGCAGACUAACUGAGCGGAUUCCCCUAGAAUGACAUGACAGCAGUGGUACUUGGAGAGUGCCUUUGCGGAGUUGACUAGCUGAACCUCGAAAGAUUCUGGUUAAUUCCUGGAAGUUGGUGGACGCAACUUCGCCGUAAGACCCGCUAAAGGCUACCAAAGCCGAAUGGGCAGUAUGGGGAAGGAGU
RNAcentral lists this ribosomal RNA (1950 nucleotides) under Nippostrongylus brasiliensis. Its description in RNAcentral is "eukaryotic LSU rRNA". The stretch from base 7 to 1449 matches the Rfam family "Eukaryotic large subunit ribosomal RNA". Lineage: Eukaryota; Metazoa; Nematoda; Chromadorea; Rhabditida; Heligmosomidae. The record is from RNAcentral.